CACGUAGGGGGCAAGCGUUGUCCGGAUUUAUUGGGCGUAAAGAGCUCGUAGGCGGUUUCGUAAGUCGGGUGUGAAAACUCUAGGCUCAACCUAGAGACGCCACCCGAUACUGCGAUGACUAGAGUCCGGUAGGGGAGUGUGGAAUUCCUGGUGUAGCGGUGAAAUGCGCAGAUAUCAGGAGGAACACCAACGGCGAAGGCAGCACUCUGGGCCGGAACUGACGCUGAGGAGCGAAAGCGUGGGUAGCGAACAGG
This 254-nucleotide ribosomal RNA is filed under the name uncultured bacterium. Its description in RNAcentral is "partial 16S ribosomal RNA". It matches the Rfam family "Bacterial small subunit ribosomal RNA", at positions 524 to 776 of the family's 1533-position model. The record is from RNAcentral.